UACGGGGGGGGUAAGCGUUGUUCGGAAUUACUGGGCGUAAAGGGCUCGUAGGCGGCCAACUAAGUCAUACGUGAAAUCCCUCAGCUUAACUGGGGAACUGCGUGUGAUACUGGAUGGCUUGGAUUUGGGAGAGGGAUGCGGAAUUCCAGGUGUAGCGGUGAAAUGCGUAGAUAUCUGGAGGAACACCGGUGGCGAAGGCGGCAUUCUGGACCAUAACUGACACUGAGAGACGAAAGCCAGGGGAGCAAACGGG
Molecule: ribosomal RNA, 253 nt
Filed under: uncultured bacterium
Lineage: Bacteria
Description: partial 16S ribosomal RNA
Rfam family: Bacterial small subunit ribosomal RNA
Source: RNAcentral